Molecule: ribosomal RNA, 200 nt
Filed under: uncultured bacterium
Lineage: Bacteria
Description: partial 16S ribosomal RNA
Rfam family: Bacterial small subunit ribosomal RNA
Source: RNAcentral
AGUGAACGCUGGCGGCAGGCCUAAUACAUGCAAGUCGAACGGCAGCACAGCAGAGCUUGCUCUGUGGGUGGCGAGUGGCGGACGGGUGAGGAAUACAUGGGAAUCUGCCCAGUCGUGGGGGAUAACGUAGGGAAACUUACGCUAAUACCGCAUGCGCCCUUCGGGGAAAGCCGGGGACCUUCGGGCCUGGCGCGAUUGGA